ACCAUAUAAAAUCUAAACACCCUACAAAAUCCAACACAUAUGAAAACACAUACAACUAUAACAAACAUGAGCUGCACAUAACUACAUAAUGUUAUAAUUGGAAGAACUCUAUCACCACACACCAACAUUAUCAUAACCAGAGUUCCAAUAUGCACCACCAUAACUUCUGUUGAAGAACUCUAUCAACAACAUUUUCUUUGACAAAUAAGAUGAUAUGCAAUCCCUUAAGAAGAAUAUUUCAAGUAUGAAAUAUUUUAAAUCAACAAAAUUUGCAGCAGCACACAACAGGCAACAACUAUGAAAUCCACCUCCAAAACCAACCACAUAAAACAUGACCAGGAGCAAUAUCUCCAAGGGGAAAUCGACCACCAAGCUGUAACUUUGACUUUAGUUGAAUCCAAAAACCAUAACUUUGACUUUAUUUGAAUCUAAAACCGACAUCAGAUCAAAACUGAAAUAUAACCUAACAAGUAACAAUCACAUUGAUGAAAAUGGGCUACAACAUAAGGGGUAGGAUCGACAAAUCAAGCCAAUUUUUUUUAAUGGAGAGAGCGACACCAAUUAAGGAUAAAAUUAAUCGGUAUCUAUCCGCUUACUUUCACCAUCGUGCUUGAAUGCUUGUUGGGAUUGGGAUUGAACCAGAAUAAUCAAGUUUCAGGGAAAAAAACUUACCAAGAGCUGUGUUGUAGAUGAGGGACCAGGAGAGCUUUGCUUCCGGUGGUGAUGGUGGCACUGGCGAAAGAAUCGGCCGACUGUUUCAGACCGGAGAUGGAGUGGGUGAGCAAAACGUCAUGUAUAUUGAAAGAGAAGAUGGAAAGUGGGGCUGAAAUAUCAAGGGCAAACCUGCAGAAGAUGUCGGCGAUGCAGCUGGAGCCGAAGACGAAGGCGCCACAGGCGAAGCCGACGACGGCGGCAGCAGAGGGGAUCGGAGCUGCAACAGAUUGGAGUAAAGGAGAGGCGUCGUUGAUGGUUGGGAGGGAAAAAAGAGGCUGUGCCCUGAAAUAGAAGAGAAUGCGAUUGUGAGCAAAACAGGAAACGCCGCGUGUUCUUAUUUUU
RNAcentral lists this long non-coding RNA (1056 nucleotides) under Lactuca sativa (garden lettuce). RNAcentral's name for it is "long non-coding RNA (LSAT_LNC007924)". The record is from RNAcentral. Lineage: Eukaryota; Viridiplantae; Streptophyta; Magnoliopsida; Asterales; Asteraceae.